GUGCCAGCAGGCGGCGGUAAAUACGUAGGGUGGCAAAGCCGUUGUCCGGGAUUUUAUUGGGACGUAAAAGCGCGCGCCAGGCGGGGUAGGUAAGUCCUGGUGUUAAAGGCCGGGAGCUCAACUCCCGGUUCGCAUCGGAAAACUGUGUAGCUUGAGUGCAGAAGAGGAAAGCGGUAUUCCACGUGUAGCGGUGAAAUGCGUAGAGAUGUGGAGGAACACCAGUGGCGAAGGCGGCUUUCUGGUCUGUAACUGACGCUGAGGCGCGAAAGCGUGGGGAGCAAACAGGAUUAGAUACCCUGGUAGUCC
RNAcentral lists this ribosomal RNA (306 nucleotides) under uncultured microorganism. RNAcentral's name for it is "bacterial SSU rRNA". It matches the Rfam family "Bacterial small subunit ribosomal RNA", at positions 505 to 796 of the family's 1533-position model. The record is from RNAcentral.